CAGCUGAUAACACACAACAAAAAAGCUUUCUUCUAAGAACAGUGCUACAUUAUUUUCCAGGCUUCCUUCACUUGAUUCAGGGAAGUGACCAUUUUAUUUUAUUUUUUUCAAAUAGAAUGUGAGUGGAAACUAUACGAGCUGCUAAUGGGACAAGGCAUUUAAGAAUCAUCCGAGUUCUUCUCUUCUUGCUGGCUGGAGCUAAGAAUUCAAGAACAAACACCAGCAAAGAGAUUCAAUACAAAUAUCCAAUUUUGAGAUAAGGGAUGGAUAACCAUAGUGCAUGCCCUCAGAUAUUUUAAUCUUUAUGAAACAUUUGAAGACCUCGAGAAAGUACAAUACCCUUGGUUCUACACAGAUGCUGUCAUGAAUUCAUCUUAUAUCAGUUUCAUAAAUCUGAGAAAACAAACUAGAGAGAAGGCAACACAUAUUUCAUUUUAGCUGUGAGCAACUUCCAUUGUGAAUCAAGGAUUCAUUCAAAAUACAUCUGGUAUGAGGUUUUGCUUUUCACAGAAUGGCAACAUCUAACCUCAUCACACAGGUGAGGACAAAGCAAUUGUAUCUUUUAGAGAGGCACACAUUUUAAAACUUCAGAUGUGGGUUUUCAGAUGUAGGAAAAAAAGCUUUGUAAUUUCUCCUAUAAAAAAGCCACCACUCACCUCUAUCUUGGGUGUGCUACAUGAAGCACACCAAGGAAUAUGAAGUUCAACUCUGUGAUUAUGAUUUUCAAAUGUUAAAUAAAUAAACAAAUAUGGUGAACUCUCCUCAUUUGUUUCCCUUUGGUAGAGAAAAACAGGGCAAAAAUGAAGUACAUCCUGGUAUAGAAUUUAUAGUGUGACAUACAAAAUGUGAGAUUAUGUGUUCUUCACAUUGCUUGCUUUAUCUAAAUUUCAUGUAGAUAUAUGGACAAGACCCCAUUCAUCUUAUGACUACAGUAUAUUGCACUUGAAAAAAAAUAGUGUUCUUAAGCUUCACCUUUUUACAGAAUCCAUGUAGUCAAAUACCAUUGAGGAUAGUUGAGUGGUCACUAUGUUGUAAUAUCAGACAAAGAUGACAGUGAAUCUGCAAAAGAAGAAAGCAUUCUGAGGACCACUGAUUCCAGAGCAGGUGAAGGUAAGAGUAUAUUUCAAAACAGAACACAAAAGAAUCUAUGCUCACAGGCUAUAUUUCGAAGGAUAGAUUUUUCAAAAAUCUU
This is a long non-coding RNA of Pan troglodytes (chimpanzee), 1192 nucleotides long. RefSeq lists it as uncharacterized. The transcript is spliced from 4 exons. NCBI's taxonomy places the organism in Eukaryota, Metazoa, Chordata, Mammalia, Primates, Hominidae. The record is from RefSeq and is a predicted model, not a curated record.